This 253-nucleotide ribosomal RNA is filed under the name uncultured bacterium. RNAcentral's name for it is "partial 16S ribosomal RNA". It matches the Rfam family "Bacterial small subunit ribosomal RNA", at positions 524 to 776 of the family's 1533-position model. The record is from RNAcentral.
GACAGAGGGUGCAAACGUUGUUCGGAAUUACUGGGCGUAAAGCGCGUGUAGGCGGCUUCGCAAGUCGGGUGUGAAAUCCCACGGCUCAACCGUGGAAGUGCAUUCGAAACUGCAAGGCUAGAGUCCUGGAGAGGAAGGUGGAAUGCUUGGUGUAGAGGUGAAAUUCGUAGAUAUUCGGAAGAACACCGGUGGCGAAGGCGACUUACUGGACACAUAUUGACGCUGAGGUGCGAAAGCGUGGGGAGCAAACAGG